This 425-nucleotide ribosomal RNA is filed under the name uncultured ammonia-oxidizing beta proteobacterium. RNAcentral describes it as "bacterial SSU rRNA". It matches the Rfam family "Bacterial small subunit ribosomal RNA", at positions 191 to 597 of the family's 1533-position model. The record is from RNAcentral. Lineage: Bacteria; Pseudomonadati; Pseudomonadota; Betaproteobacteria.
CGGGAUGGGAGGAAAGCAGGGGAUCGUAAGACCUUGCGCUUUUGGAGCGGCCGAUGUCUGAUUAGCUAGUUGGUGGGGUAAUGGCCUACCAAAGCUUCGAUCAGUAGCUGGUCUGAGAGGACGGCCAGCCACACUGGGACUGAGACACGGCCCAGACUCCUACGGGAGGCAGCAGUGGGGAAUUUUGGACAAUGGGCGCAAGCCUGAUCCAGCCAUGCCGCGUGAGUGAAGAAGGCCUUCGGGUUGUAAAGCUCUUUCAGCCGGGAAGAAAAGGCUGCGACUAAUAAUCGCAGUUCAUGACGGUACCGGAAGAAGAAGCACCGGCUAACUACGUGCCAGCAGCCGCGGUAAUACGUAGGGUGCGAGCGUUAAUCGGAAUUACUGGGCGUAAAGGGUGCGCAGGCGGUUUUGUAAGUCAGAUGUGA